GACGAACGCUGGCGGCGUGCCUAAUACAUGCAAGUCGAACGAGAGCGCCCGGUGCUUGCACUGGUCAAUCUAGUGGCGAACGGGUGAGUAACACGUGGGUAACCUGCCCAUCAGAGGGGGAUAACAUCCGGAAACGGAUGCUAAAACCGCAUAGGUCUUCGAACCGCAUGGUUUGAAGAGGAAAAGAGGCGCAAGCUUCUGCUGAUGGAUGGACCCGCGGUGCAUUAGCUAGUUGGUGAGGUAACGGCUCACCAAGGCCGUGAUGCAUAGCCGACCUGAGAGGGUGAGCGGCCACAUUGGGACUGAGACACGGCCCAAACUCCUACGGGAGGCAGCAGUAGGGAAUCUUCCGCAAUGGACGCAAGUCUGACGGAGCAACGCCGCGUGAGUGAAGAAGGUGUUCGGAUCGUAAAACUCUGUUGUUAGAGAAGAACAAGUGCUAGAGUAACUGUUAGCGCCUUGACGGUAUCUAACCAGAAAGCCACGGCUAACUACGUG
This 498-nucleotide ribosomal RNA is filed under the name uncultured bacterium. Its description in RNAcentral is "partial 16S ribosomal RNA". It matches the Rfam family "Bacterial small subunit ribosomal RNA", at positions 28 to 507 of the family's 1533-position model. The record is from RNAcentral.